RNAcentral lists this ribosomal RNA (116 nucleotides) under Candidatus Peregrinibacteria bacterium. RNAcentral also lists the same sequence under 1 other name. The record is from RNAcentral. Lineage: Bacteria; Candidatus Peregrinibacteriota.
CUUGGUGGCUCUAGAGAGUUGGGUACACCUGUUCCCAUCCCGAACACAGAAGUUAAGCAACUCUUCGCUGAUGAUACUCAUGUUAUCAAUAUGGGAAAAGUAGGACGCCGCCAAGA